Molecule: ribosomal RNA, 253 nt
Filed under: uncultured bacterium
Lineage: Bacteria
Description: partial 16S ribosomal RNA
Rfam family: Bacterial small subunit ribosomal RNA
Source: RNAcentral
UACGUAGGGGGCUAGCGUUGUCCGGAAUCAUUGGGCGUAAAGGGCGCGUAGGCGGUUCGUACAGUCAGACGUGAAAUUCCUGGGCUCAACCUGGGGGCUGCGUUUGAUACGUGCGGACUUGAGUGCGGAAGAGGGUCGUGGAAUUCCCAGUGUAGAGGUGAAAUUCGUAGAUAUUGGGAAGAACACCGGUGGCGAAGGCGGCGACCUGGUCCGAUACUGACGCUGAGGCGCGAAAGCGUGGGGAGCAAACAGG